RNAcentral lists this unclassified non-coding RNA (299 nucleotides) under plant metagenome. Its description in RNAcentral is "partial contains small subunit ribosomal RNA and internal transcribed spacer 1". The stretch from base 1 to 46 matches the Rfam family "Eukaryotic small subunit ribosomal RNA", at positions 1786 to 1831 of the family's 1831-position model. The record is from RNAcentral.
AAGUCGUAACAAGGUUUCCGUAGGUGAACCUGCGGAAGGAUCAUUAUUGAAACUUGAAUCGUAGCAUUGAGAACUGUUGCUGACCUGUUAAAGGGUAUGUGCACGUUCGACGUGUUGCGUUCUAUUCAUCCACCUGUGCACCUUUUGUAGUACUUGAAUUUAACUUUCGCUCUCGGAUGCGGUUAAGGAAUGGGUUUGCUUUCCGAGUUUCCUUUGUCUAUCAAGUCUAUGUCCAUAUAAUCUCUUGUAUGUCUAGAAUGUCUUGUUUAUGGGACGCAAGUCCUUUAAAUCUUAUACAA